RNAcentral lists this ribosomal RNA (465 nucleotides) under uncultured bacterium. RNAcentral describes it as "partial 16S ribosomal RNA". It matches the Rfam family "Bacterial small subunit ribosomal RNA", at positions 339 to 795 of the family's 1533-position model. The record is from RNAcentral.
CUACGGGACGCUGCAGUGGGGAAUUUUGCACAAUGGGGGAAACCCUGAUGCAGCGACGCCGCGUGCGGGAAGAAGGCCUUAGGGUUGUAAACCGCUUUCAAUUGUGAAGAAGGGAUGAGAGUUAAUAGCUUUCUGACUUGACGGUAGCAUUAGAAGAAGCACCGGCUAAGUUUCGUGCCAGCAGCCGCGGUAAUACGAAAGGUGCAAGCGUUGUUCGGAUUUACUGGGCGUAAAGAGAUCGUAGGUGGUUUAUUAAGUCGGAUGUGAAAUCCCGGAGCUCAACUUCGGAACUGCAUUCGAUACUGGUAGGCUAGAGUUCGGGAGGGGAAAGCGGAAUUCCGUGUGUAGCAGUGAAAUGCGUAGAUAUACGGAGGAACACCUGAGGCGAAGGCGGCUUUCUGGACCGAUACUGACACUGAGGAUCGAAAGCGUGGGUAGCAAACAGGAUUAGAUACCCCAGUAGUC